GUCCACGCCGUAAACGAUGAGUGCUAGGUGCUGCGGGUAUUGACCCCUGCGGUGCCGUAGCUAACGCGUUAAGCACUCCGCCUGGGGAGUACGGCCGCAAGGCUAAAACUCAAAGGAAUUGACGGGGGCCCGCACAAGCGGUGGAGCAUGUGGUUCAAUUCGACGCAACGCGCAGAACCUUACCUGGGUUAAAUCCACUCGAACUUAGCAGAGAUGCUUUGGUGCCUUUCGGGGAGCGAGUGAGAAGGUGCUGCAUGGCUGUCGU
This 265-nucleotide ribosomal RNA is filed under the name uncultured bacterium. RNAcentral's name for it is "partial 16S ribosomal RNA". It matches the Rfam family "Bacterial small subunit ribosomal RNA", at positions 793 to 1055 of the family's 1533-position model. The record is from RNAcentral.